CUACGGGGGGCUGCAGGCGAGAAAACUUUGCAAUGUGCGAAAGCACGACAAGGUUAAUCCGAGUGGUUUCUGCUAAAGGAACCUUUUGACAGUCCUAGAAACACUGUUGAAUAAGGGGUGGGCAAGUUCUGGUGUCAGCCGCCGCGGUAAAACCAGCACCUCAAGUGGUCAGGAUGAUUAUUGGGCCUAAAGCAUCCGUAGCCGGCUCUGUAAGUUUUCGGUUAAAUCUGUACGCUCAACGUACAGGCUGCCGGGAAUACUGCAGAGCUAGGGAGUGGGAGAGGUAGACGGUACUCGGUAGGAAGGGGUAAAAUCCUUUGAUCUAUUGAUGACCACCUGUGGCGAAGGCGGUCUACCAGAACACGUCCGACGGUGAGGGAUGAAAGCUGGGGGAGCAAACCGGAUUAGAUACCCCCGUAGUC
RNAcentral lists this ribosomal RNA (422 nucleotides) under uncultured archaeon. RNAcentral's name for it is "partial 16S ribosomal RNA". It matches the Rfam family "Archaeal small subunit ribosomal RNA", at positions 323 to 746 of the family's 1478-position model. The record is from RNAcentral.